RNAcentral lists this long non-coding RNA (1489 nucleotides) under Sciurus vulgaris (Eurasian red squirrel). RNAcentral describes it as "lncRNA (ENSSVLG00005009561.1)". Lineage: Eukaryota; Metazoa; Chordata; Mammalia; Rodentia; Sciuridae. The record is from RNAcentral.
GACCUUUUAGAUCCUUUUCUGCACAUUUUCCUGACUGCCGAAUCAUGGGGCUAAGUUCUCGGAACACCUAUUUUUGCUCUAUGAGGAAAAGAUGUGAAAAUAAAGCACAAGCAAACUUCUUUUCCCUCUCUUCCUGGAAAACUAGCCUGCAUUUACAGACAGAAGACACAGAAGCCAUAAUGUCAUUUUCCACAAAAUUAUUUCAUGUCUUUACUGGACCCCAAAUUUAAACUGCAAUCCAGUCAUUCAGAUGUGCUGGAAUUAGGCAUUACCUGUGCAAGAACAGUGAAAGAGAUUGUACUGUAUUGUGGAAUCAUGCAAAAGGGAAAAAAAAAAGUUUCAUGGUGUCUGUUAUGGCAAUUUUUUUUUCGACCCUACAGUUUUUAGUAAUGUGUUUUAAUCCAAGGGGAUAGGAACUAAACUAGUGCCUACUAUUAACUGACUCUGCCUUUUGUUAAAGGCUAAAUCUGCAGUGCUCCUAGUACCAGCAGGUUCCUUUCUUAGUGUGUAGACUACUACAGUAAAUUCUCACAUUUCUAGUGUACUUUGCCAUGGGUCUAAUUUUGAAAAUAACAUGCAUUGACUUUAUAGGGUGUUGAAUGAACAGCAUAUUCAACAGAUAUCACCAUGUGCCUACUCUGUGUCCAACACUGUGCUUGGGCCCCUAGGGAAGAUACAAAAGUAUUUAUGGCAAGGGCUCUUCCACCAGUGCCAAAAAGUGAGUAGUGACUAAUGAAAAAGUUGGUAAAACCUAUUUGACUAAAAUGAAAUUCUUAGUGAUAUAGACCAUAAAUCCAUGAUUAGAAAGCCAUUUGAUUUAAAGCCUGACAUAAUGGGGCUUUUUGCUUCAAGCUAUUUUAAUAAGGACCCUCAGUGACUAAUUGCUGUGGGUAAAUUCCAAGAUAAAUUAGUUUUAUACAGAGUUCUGUAAAUAGUAAUUUUGUAUUUGAUUAGUACAAUUAGCUGAGUCAUAAAGCAAGUUUUACCUCUGUGCAUUUGUUGCAUACAUACUUGAAAAGCUCACUCAACACUAGGUGCUUCAAUUCUAUUUCUUCCUUAAAAAAUUAAAAGCUGCGGACAACAUUUCCUCAUUAAAGUAUUAUAGUUUAGGCAGAAUUUCAAUUACAAAGUGGGAAUCACCAGUAAAGAUAAAAGUUUUAUUCCUGAAAUAAGUGCUUAGGAGAUAUUGAUGAGUGAUUUUUGUGUUAUUGGGAAUUGACAUGGGGCAGUGGGGAGAGAGUUUAAAUUUUGAAGGUGAUCUGGUUUAGAUUUGAAUUCCAGCUGUAUGACAUUGAUCAAAUUAGUAAUAGUCCUGAGUGCCAGUUUCCUCAUCUGUAAAAUGAGGAGGGGAAUAUUUCACAGCUCAUUAUGAACAUUUCAGGAAAUAAGUGAAGAUGCCAAUACUUAGUUAUUUUAGGAUGCCCUCUAUUUUAUGUCUGAAAUUGUAUCUCAAGAUGUGUUACAGAAUAAAUCUGAAAUAAAAAGGAAG